UACGUAGGGUGCAAGCGUUAAUCGGAAUUACUGGGCGUAAAGCGUGCGCAGGCGGCUUUGCAAGACAGAUGUGAAAUCCCCGGGCUCAACCUGGGAAUGGCGAUGGAGACUGCAAGGCUAGAGUUUGGCAGAGGGGGGUAGAAUUCCACGUGUAGCAGUGAAAUGCGUAGAGAUGUGGAGGAACACCGAUGGCGAAGGCAGCCCCCUGGGUCAAAACUGACGCUCAUGCACGAAAGCGUGGGGAGCAAACAGG
RNAcentral lists this ribosomal RNA (253 nucleotides) under uncultured bacterium. RNAcentral's name for it is "partial 16S ribosomal RNA". It matches the Rfam family "Bacterial small subunit ribosomal RNA", at positions 524 to 776 of the family's 1533-position model. The record is from RNAcentral.